RNAcentral lists this ribosomal RNA (493 nucleotides) under uncultured bacterium. RNAcentral describes it as "partial 16S ribosomal RNA". It matches the Rfam family "Bacterial small subunit ribosomal RNA", at positions 29 to 523 of the family's 1533-position model. The record is from RNAcentral.
AUUGAACGCUGGCGGCAUGCUUUACACAUGCAAGUCGAACGGUAACAGGUUAAGCUGACGAGUGGCGAACGGGUGAGUAAUGCAUCGGAACGUGCCCGGUCGUGGGGGAUAACGCAGCGAAAGCUGCGCUAAUACCGCAUACGAUCUGAGGAUGAAAGCGGGGGACCGUAAGGCCUCGCGCGAUCGGAGCGGCCGAUGGCAGAUUAGGUAGUUGGUGGGGUAAAGGCAUACUAACCCGACGAUCUGUAGCUGGUCUGAGAGGACGACCAGCCUCACGGGGACUGAGAAACGGCCCAGACUGCUACGGGAGGCAGCAGUGGGGAAUUUUGGACAAUGGGCGCAAGCCUGAUCCAGCAAUGCCGCGUGCAGGAAGAAGGCCUUCGGGUUGUAAACUGCUUUUGUACGGAGCGAAAAGGCUCUCUCUAAUACAGGGGGUUCAUGACGGUACCGUAAGAAUAAGCACCGGCUAACUACGUGCCAGCCGCCGCCGUAA